GAAAUGCGAUAAGUAGUGUGAAUUGCAGAAUUCAGUGAAUCAUCGAAUCUUUGAACGCACAUUGCGCCCUUUGGUAUUCCAAAGGGCAUGCCUGUUCGAGCGUCAUUUGUACCCUCAAGCUUUGCUUGGUGUUGGGCGUCUUGUCUCCAGUUCGCUGGAGACUCGCCUUAAAGUAAUUGGCAGCCGGCCUACUGGUUUCGGAGCGCAGCACAAGUCGCGCUCUCUUCCAGCCAAGGUCAGCAUCCACAAAGCCUUUUUUCAACUUUUGACCUCGGAUCAGGUAGGGAUACCCGCUGAACUUAAGU
Molecule: unclassified non-coding RNA, 305 nt
Filed under: plant metagenome
Description: partial contains 5.8S ribosomal RNA, internal transcribed spacer 2, and large subunit ribosomal RNA
Rfam family: 5.8S ribosomal RNA (bases 1-105)
Source: RNAcentral